RNAcentral lists this ribosomal RNA (253 nucleotides) under uncultured bacterium. Its description in RNAcentral is "partial 16S ribosomal RNA". It matches the Rfam family "Bacterial small subunit ribosomal RNA", at positions 524 to 776 of the family's 1533-position model. The record is from RNAcentral.
UACAGAGGGGGCUAGCGUUGUUCGGAAUUACUGGGCGUAAAGGGCGCGUAGGUGGCCUGUUAAGUCGAACGUGAAAUCCCCGGGCUCAACCCGGGAACUGCGUCCGAGACUGGCAGGCUCGAAUCCGGGAGAGGGAUGUGGAAUUCCAGGUGUAGCGGUGAAAUGCGUAGAUAUCUGGAGGAACACCGGUGGCGAAGGCGGCGUCCUGGACCGGUAUUGACGCUGAGGCGCGAAAGCCAGGGGAGCAAACGGG